ACAGUGACAUAAAAAGAACCGAACAGAAACUUCAAGCAACCGCCGAGGAUUAUCACGUCUUUUUGUGUUGAUUAAAUAAACAAUUAAAUACUCGAAGAGUAUAAAGUUUCAGUACAAAAAAUAAAAACUAAAUUAAAAAUAAAAUGGGUGUCGAUAUCUUGGGUUUCGCGUACGCCGCUACCGUCGCUGCCGGUGGAAUUAUGGGUUACGCUAAAGCAGGAUCUAUACCGUCCUUGGGAGCUGGUCUCAUCUUCGGUUCCAUUUUAGGUGUUGGAGCAUACCAGCUCAGUCAAGACGCCUCAAACUACACUCUCAUGUUGGGCACCACGUCUGCUCUCGGCGGUCUUAUGGGUUACAGGUACUACAACAGCAGGAAGUUCAUGCCAGCAGGUCUAGUUUUCUGUCUGUCCGUUGGUAUGCUGGCUAAAAUAGUCUUCAAACAUGUUGGUGCACAAACCCCGCUCGCUACGAAAGGAUAAUCACGAUAAUAAACCUUUUUAUUUCCAAACUCUUUGGGCAACAUUCGAUGAAAUUUGAAAAUAGAAGAGAAACUGGCCUGAAAUGAAAUAAAAAGGUUUUAUUUUUUAAGUGAACCAGUGAUUACAUUUAUUUGAAAUGGUUUGGACUGUUAUUUGAAUACAUUUUUUUUUCAAUGUUAAAAUGUCUGUAACUUUAUUUUUAAAUUUACCUAUGAUACGUUUUUGUAUAUUUUGUAGGGUAGAUAUGGCGCUGCACAAAAUAAGUGCAAUAAUUAUGUGUUCAAUUGUUUGCGUUGACAGUUUAAUUUAUACCCAUUGUUUAUACCGAUUUUGUAAAACUUAGUUAGGUACAAGUUAAGUAUGAUUUUGUAAAUGGUGUUGGGAA
This 864-nucleotide unclassified non-coding RNA is filed under the name Helicoverpa zea (corn earworm). RNAcentral's name for it is "transmembrane protein 14C, transcript variant X1". The record is from RNAcentral. Lineage: Eukaryota; Metazoa; Arthropoda; Insecta; Lepidoptera; Noctuidae.